RNAcentral lists this ribosomal RNA (411 nucleotides) under uncultured bacterium. Its description in RNAcentral is "bacterial SSU rRNA". It matches the Rfam family "Bacterial small subunit ribosomal RNA", at positions 63 to 470 of the family's 1533-position model. The record is from RNAcentral.
ACGGCAGCACAGUAAGAGCUUGCUCUUAUGGGUGGCGAGUGGCGGACGGGUGAGGAAUACAUCGGAAUCUACCUUUUCGUGGGGGAUAACGUAGGGAAACUUACGCUAAUACCGCAUACGACCUUCGGGUGAAAGCAGGGGACCUUCGGGCCUUGCGCGGAUAGAUGAGCCGAUGUCGGAUUAGCUAGUUGGCGGGGUAAAGGCCCACCAAGGCGACGAUCCGUAGCUGGUCUGAGAGGAUGAUCAGCCACACUGGAACUGAGACACGGUCCAGACUCCUACGGGAGGCAGCAGUGGGGAAUAUUGGACAAUGGGCGCAAGCCUGAUCCAGCCAUACCGCGUGGGUGAAGAAGGCCUUCGGGUUGUAAAGCCCUUUUGUUGGGAAAGAAAAGCAGUCGAUUAAUACUCGGU